This 505-nucleotide ribosomal RNA is filed under the name uncultured bacterium. Its description in RNAcentral is "partial 16S ribosomal RNA". It matches the Rfam family "Bacterial small subunit ribosomal RNA", at positions 30 to 523 of the family's 1533-position model. The record is from RNAcentral.
AUUGAACGCUGGCGGCAGGCUUAACACAUGCAAGUCGAACGGGGUGAUGGUGCUUGCACUAUCACUUAGCGGCGGACGGGUGAGUAAUGCUUAGGAAUCUGCCUAUUAGUGGGGGACAACAUCUCGAAAGGGAUGCUAAUACCGCAUACGUCCUACGGGAGAAAGCAGGGGAUCACUUGUGACCUUGCGCUAAUAGAUGAGCCUAAGUCGGAUUAGCUAGUUGGUGGGGUAAAGGCCUACCAAGGCGACGAUCUGUAGCGGGUCUGAGAGGAUGAUCCGCCACACUGGGACUGAGACACGGCCCAGACUCCUACGGGAGGCAGCAGUGGGGAAUAUUGGACAAUGGGGGGAACCCUGAUCCAGCCAUGCCGCGUGUGUGUGAAGAAGGCCUUAUGGUUGUAAAGCACUUUAAGCGAGGAGGAGGCUCUUUUGGUUAAUACCCAAGAUGAGUGGACGUUACUCGCAGAAUAGGCACCGGCUAACUCUGUGCCAGCCGCCGCAGUAA